Molecule: long non-coding RNA, 1633 nt
Organism: Haliotis rubra (blacklip abalone)
Lineage: Eukaryota; Metazoa; Mollusca; Gastropoda; Lepetellida; Haliotidae
Exons: 3
Source: RefSeq, a predicted model, not a curated record
CUGAGCUGGAUAUUGGCGUUGUACAAACAUUGGCAUAAUAAUUUGACAAAUGUUGAAGAGCAAAUGUGCAGUUCUCUCAAACCUAGAAAUAAAUUGUUCAAGGCCAAUUAUUUGUGGCAAACUUUGUAAAGUAUGCUAUCAGAAUAGGCAACAGGUUUAGUAGGUUAAUUCUUAGUUCAGAAAAUAAUGAUUCCUAUUUUUUUAUGUCUAAUUUAUAUAGCCUAGUACGCAUGGUGUGUCGCACAGGAAGUUCCGUUCAUCUUGGAAAAGAGCAUGGUAUUUACAAGCCCGCUCGUGAGGAGAGACGUUGACUGUCAAAACAACUAUAACCGUGAGAUUUCACUUUUCAGAACUUGUCUAACGUGCCACUAGUCAUCAUGCACUGCAGCAAUGAAAUACUCUACAUCUGGCACCUGUCUUGGAUUUAAGGAACUAUGAGCAUUAUGUGAUGUCCCAGGAGCUGGAAGAUUCUCAUUUACAAGAAAGAACAAGUCAGCACUGACGAAGUUUUAUUCAAUGUGCGAAAACAAGACACAGUAAGGUUCACAGAAGACCGGGUAUGUGACACGUCGACAGUGAGAAGGUUGGCGAGGCAUGGCUCUGCUGGAAUAUGUGGGGUGAAUGCUGGAAAAUAAGACAUGAAUAGGCAUAAAGAAAUCCAGACGUGUGCUGGGUUUUCUCCAGAGCCAGGUUACUGAUACCUAACCAUGAAGGAGCAUUAUGCAGAGGACCUUCAGCAAGACGAGCUGAAUACAAAAGGUACUGGAUACAGAAGGUGUUGUGGGGGAGGUGGAAUUAGUGAAGGAAGGUAGUCAACUAAGGGGGUACUGAGCCAUGUGAGCUGAUUUAUUUGUUACUGGCCAUGGAAUGCCGACACAAAUCCUCUGAGAAACAGUAACUGACAGGCAGUUGAGAAUAACUGCUGCUGGAAAAGACAUGAAUGUGAAUGAAUGUCGGCCUUUACUCAAUUCUGAGUUCAAGAUGGGAGAGGAUAUUGGAAAUCGGCUAGCACUACAGGAUGUGCUUAUGAAGUAUGCUACUUCCGAUGGGGAGUCGAAGUCUUCAGAUGGAAUAGACAAAGCUCGGAAGAUGUUUAUGGGAGGUGCAACGACUUGCUGACCCCACCCAUAUGGCUCAGGACAGUUUUGUCAAUGCUUCAGUGCUGAUUUCAACCAAGAUGUUCCCCGACAUUUCUUUACAUCCUCACUCAGCACCUGCCAUUUUUGUGUAUAGGGCAUGUAACAGCCUGAUAAUGAAAGGAGUCAUGCAGGCGUUGAGAAAAAAAAUAUUCAGUGCGUUGCUUUACAUACUGUUACACUUGUAGGUUACCAAACAAGCUGGUAGUUCAACUUGAGAAUUUGGAGAUUACGGGCCGCAGUGUGAUCACAUGGACAAGUAGGCUGCCUGUCACGAAAAGUGAACAUUUGAAAUCAACUGACACCAUGUGACAUGUUUUUUGCACUCAUUAUAAUGCUAAGUAACUAGCACAUGUAACUUUGUCAGUCAUAGGUUGUACUGAUGUCUUGUGUUGAAACUAGGGAUGUACGCCUAGUCUGGGGAUUGUUAAGGAUGCAUUAUUUAUAAGUGAUCUGUACCAAAGGGCGUCAAUUCUUAAUAAAGUUUUGCAAAAGUG